GAUGAACGCUGGCGGCGUGCCUAAUACAUGCAAGUCGAACGAAACUUCUUUAUCACCGAGUGCUUGCACUCACCGAUAAAGAGUUGAGUGGCGAACGGGUGAGUAACACGUGGGCAACCUGCCCAAAAGAGGGGGAUAACACUUGGAAACAGGUGCUAGUACCGCAUAACCAUAGUUACCGCAUGGUAACUAUGUAAAAGGUGGCUAUACUACCGCUUUUGGAUGGGCCCGCGGCGCAUUAGCUAGUUGGUAGGGUAAAGGCUUACCAAGGCAAUGAUGCGUAGCCGAAUUGAGAGGUUGAUCGGCCACAUUGGGACUGAGACACGGCCCAAACUCCUACGGGAGGCAGCAGUAGGGAAUCUUCCACAAUGGGCGAAAGCCUGAUGGAGCAACACCGCGUGGGUGAAGAAGGUCUUCGGAUCGUAAAACCCUGUUGUUAGAGAAGAAAGUGCGUGAGAGUAACUGUUCACGUUUCGACGGUAUCUAACCAGAAAGCCACGGCUAACUACGUG
RNAcentral lists this ribosomal RNA (512 nucleotides) under uncultured bacterium. RNAcentral describes it as "partial 16S ribosomal RNA". It matches the Rfam family "Bacterial small subunit ribosomal RNA", at positions 28 to 507 of the family's 1533-position model. The record is from RNAcentral.